Molecule: long non-coding RNA, 917 nt
Organism: Myiozetetes cayanensis
Lineage: Eukaryota; Metazoa; Chordata; Aves; Passeriformes; Tyrannidae
Exons: 3
Source: RefSeq, a predicted model, not a curated record
UUUUAAGGGUAGGAAUUCAGGGAUUGGAUUGGGAUUUUAAGGGCAGGAAUUCAGGGAUUUUAAGGAGAGGAAUUCAGGGAUUGGGUUGGGAUUUUAAGGACAGGAAUUGGGAUUUUAAGGGCAGGAAUUCAGGGAUUGGGUUGGGAUUUUAAGGGCAGGAAUUCAGGGAUUGGGUUGGGAUUUUAAGGACAAGAAUUCAGGGAUUGGAUUGGGAUUCAAGGCUGGAAUUCAGGGAUUGGAUUGGGAAUCUUCCUGGGAUUGAUCUCAAAACAGGUUGGAUUUUUCCUCAAGGAAUUCUGGGAAUAAUUUCCACUCCCAGAAGUUCAGGAAUUCAGGUGUAAAUUGGGAUUUUAAGGGCAGGAAUUCAGGGAUUGGGUUGGGAUUAUAAGGGCAGGAAUUCAGGGAUUGGAUUGGGAUUUUAAGGGCAGGAAUUCAGGUGUAAAUUGGGAUUUUAAGGGCAGGAAUUCAGGGAUUGGAUUGGGAUUUUAAGGACAGGAAUUCAGGGGUAAAUUGGGAUUUUAAGGGCAGGAAUUCAGGGAUUGGGUUGGGAUUUUAAGGGCAGGAAUUCAGGGAUUGGAUUGGGAUUCAGAAUCUGGAAUUAAUCCCAAGCAGAUUGGAUUUUUCCUCAAGGAAUUCUGGGAAUAAUUUCCACUCCCAGAAGUUCAGGAAUUGUGGUGUAAAUUGGGAUUUUAAGGGGCAGGAAUUGGGAUUUUAAGGGCAGGAAUUCAGGGAUUGGGUUGGGAUUUUAAGGGCAGGAAUUCAGGGAUUGAAUUGGGAUUCAGAAUCUGGGAUUGAUCCCAAGCAGGUUGGAUUUUUCCUCAAGGAAUUCUGGGAAUAAUUUCCACUCCCAGAAGUUCAGGAAUUCUGGGGUAGGUUGGGAUUUUAAGGGGCAGGAAUUGGGAUUUUAAGGGUAGGAA